UUCACCGCGAGGUGAAAUCUGAAGGAAGCGGCAAGCAAACCACUGGCCUGACGAACAGAAACCGCAUACGAGGCGUCUAUAGUGGGUGAGGUAGCCAAUAUUGCUAAAGCCCAGUACUUACACGGAAACUAUGAACGUAGAUGCGGCAGGCAUAAGUGGGACAAAUUCGUCU
This 172-nucleotide non-coding RNA is filed under the name Aliidiomarina maris. The record is from RNAcentral. Lineage: Bacteria; Pseudomonadati; Pseudomonadota; Gammaproteobacteria; Alteromonadales; Idiomarinaceae.